AUUGAACGCUGGCGGAAUGCUUUACACAUGCAAGUCGAACGAUGAACCUUAGCUUGCUAAGGGGAUUAGUGGCGAACGGGUGAGUAAUGUAUCGGAACGUAUCCAAUAAUGGGGGAUAACUAGUCGAAAGAUUAGCUAAUACCGCAUACGUCCUACGGGAGAAAGCUAGGGACCUUCGGGCCUGGCGUUAAUGGAGCGGCCGAUAUCUGAUUAGCUAGUUGGUGGGGGAAAGGCUCACCAAGGCGACGAUCAGUAGCUGGUCUGAGAGGACGACCAGCCACACUGGAACUGAGGCACGGUCCAGACUCCUACGGGAGGCAGCAGUGGGGAAUUUUGGACAAUGGGCGAAAGCCUGAUCCAGCCAUUCCGCGUGAGUGAAGAAGGCCUUCGGGUUGUAAAGCUCUUUCGCAAGGGAAGAAAACUUAAGCUCUAACAUAGCUUGAGGUUGACGGUACCUUGAUAAGAAGCACCGGCUAACUACGUGCCAGCCGCCGCCGUAA
RNAcentral lists this ribosomal RNA (500 nucleotides) under uncultured bacterium. RNAcentral's name for it is "partial 16S ribosomal RNA". It matches the Rfam family "Bacterial small subunit ribosomal RNA", at positions 30 to 523 of the family's 1533-position model. The record is from RNAcentral.